This 462-nucleotide ribosomal RNA is filed under the name uncultured bacterium. Its description in RNAcentral is "bacterial SSU rRNA". It matches the Rfam family "Bacterial small subunit ribosomal RNA", at positions 466 to 929 of the family's 1533-position model. The record is from RNAcentral.
GAAGUGACGGUACCACAUGAAUAAGCCCCGGCUAACUACGUGCCAGCAGCCGCGGUAAUACGUAGGGGGCGAGCGUUGUCCGGAAUCACUGGGCGUAAAGGGCACGCAGGCUGUGAUUCAAGUCAGCUGUAAAAGGAUGCGGCUUAACCGUGUUUAGCAGUUGAAACUGGAUGACUGGAGUGCUGGAGAGGCAAGUGGAAUUCCCAGUGUAGCGGUGAAAUGCGUAGAUAUUGGGAAGAACAUCGGUGGCGAAGGCGACUUGCUGGCCAGUAACUGACGCUGAGGUGCGAAAGCCAGGGUAGCAAACGGGAUUAGAUACCCCGGUAGUCCUGGCUGUAAACGAUGAAUGCUAGGUGUGCGAGCAGAGAUGUUGGUGUGCCGCAGUUAACGCGAUAAGCAUUCCGCCUGGGGAGUACGGUCGCAAGAUUGAAACUCAAAGGAAUUGACGGGGGCCCGCACAAG